This is a non-coding RNA of Ilex paraguariensis (yerba mate), 115 nucleotides long. The record is from the annotation of a GenBank genome assembly. NCBI's taxonomy places the organism in Eukaryota, Viridiplantae, Streptophyta, Magnoliopsida, Aquifoliales, Aquifoliaceae.
GCGAUUAUACCAGCGCUAAUGCACCGGAUCCUAUUAGAACUCUUUAGUUAAGCGUGCUUGGGCGAGAGUAGUACUAGGAUGAGUGACCUCCUGGGAAGUCCUCGUGUUACACCCU